UCCCUGGUGGCUUAGAUGGUGAAGAAUCUGCCUGCAAAGCAGUAGACCUGGGUUCAAUUCCUGGAUCGGGAA
RNAcentral lists this transfer RNA (72 nucleotides) under Bos taurus (domestic cattle). It matches the Rfam family "tRNA". From Rfam's summary of the family: Transfer RNA (tRNA) molecules are approximately 80 nucleotides in length. Their secondary structure includes four short double-helical elements and three loops (D, anti-codon, and T loops). Further hydrogen bonds mediate the characteristic L-shaped molecular structure. tRNAs have two regions of fundamental functional importance: the anti-codon, which is responsible for specific mRNA codon recognition, and the 3' end, to which the tRNAs corresponding amino acid is attached (by aminoacyl-tRNA synthetases). tRNAs cope with the degeneracy of the genetic code in two manners: having more than one tRNA (with a specific anti-codon) for a particular amino acid; and 'wobble' base-pairing, i.e. permitting non-standard base-pairing at the 3rd anti-codon position. RNAcentral also lists the same sequence under 2 other names. The record is from Rfam by way of RNAcentral. Lineage: Eukaryota; Metazoa; Chordata; Mammalia; Artiodactyla; Bovidae.